RNAcentral lists this ribosomal RNA (915 nucleotides) under uncultured archaeon. RNAcentral's name for it is "bacterial SSU rRNA". It matches the Rfam family "Archaeal small subunit ribosomal RNA", at positions 1 to 922 of the family's 1478-position model. The record is from RNAcentral.
UUCCGGUUGAUCCUGCCGGAGGUCACUGCUAUUGGGAUUCGACUAAGCCAUGCGAGUCGAGAGGGUUCGGCCCUCGGCUGACGGCUCAGUAACACGUGGAUAAUCUGCCCUUAGGUGGAGGAUACCCUCGGGAAACUGAGAAUAAUACUCCAUAGGCCUGGGAUGCUGGAAUGCACCUAGGCUUAAAGCUCCGGCGCCUAAGGAUGAGUCUGCGGACUAUCAGGUUGUAGUCAGGGUAAAGACCUGACUAGCCUACGACGGAUAUGGGUUGUGAGAGCAAUAACCCAGAGAUGAUAUCUGAGACACGAUAUCAGGCCCUACGGGGCGCAGCAGGCGCGAAAACUUCACAAUGUGCGAAAGCACGAUGAGGGAAUCCCAAGUGCUUGCACGUAAGUGUAAGCUGUUUCUAUGUUUAAAACGCAUAGAGAGUAAGGGCUGGGUAAGACGGGUGCCAGCCGCCGCGGUAAUACCUGCAGCUCGAGUGGUGGCCGCUAUUAUUGGGCCUAAAACGUCCGUAGCCGGUUUAAUAAAUGCCUGGGUAAAUCGUGUAGCUUAACUAUACGAAUUCCGGGUAGACUGUUAAACUUGAGAUCGGGAGAAGUUAGAGGUACUCCUGGGGUAGAGGUGAAAUUCUGUAAUCCUAGGGGGACCACCAGUGGCGAAGGCGUCUGACUAGAACGAGUCUGACGGUGAGGGACGAAGCCCUGGGGCGCGAACCGGAUUAGAUACCCGGGUAGUCCCAGCCGUAAACGAUGCGGGCUAGGUGUUGGGGUGGCUACGUGCCACUUCAGUGCCGCAGGGAAGCCAUUAAGCCCGCCGCCUGGGGAGUACGGCCGCAAGGCUGAAACUUAAAGGAAUUGGCGGGGGAGCACCACAAGGCGUGAAGCUUGCGGUUCAAUUGGAGUCAACGCCGGG